UCAGGUUUGAUCAUGCUCAGGAUGAACGCUAGCGGCAGGCUUAACACAUGCAAGUCGAGGGGCAGCGGGGUGUAGCAAUACACUGCCGGCGACCGGCGCACGGGUGCGUAACGCGUAUGCAACCUACCCAUAACAGGGGCAUAACACUGAGAAAUUGGUACUAAUUCCCCAUAACAUUCGAAGAGGCAUCUCUUUGGGUUGAAAACUCCGGUGGUUAUGGAUGGGCAUGCGUUGUAUUAGCUAGUUGGG
Molecule: ribosomal RNA, 249 nt
Filed under: uncultured bacterium
Lineage: Bacteria
Description: partial 16S ribosomal RNA
Rfam family: Bacterial small subunit ribosomal RNA
Source: RNAcentral